Molecule: ribosomal RNA, 504 nt
Filed under: uncultured bacterium
Lineage: Bacteria
Description: bacterial SSU rRNA
Rfam family: Bacterial small subunit ribosomal RNA
Source: RNAcentral
UGGGGAAUCUUGGACAAUGGGGGGCAACCCUGAUCCAGCCAUGCCGCGUGAGUGAUGAAGGCCCUUAGGGUCGUAAAGCUCUUUCGCCUGUGAAGAUAAUGACGGUAGCAGGUAAAGAAACCCCGGCUAACUCCGUGCCAGCAGCCGCGGUAAUACGGAGGGGGUUAGCGUUGUUCGGAAUUACUGGGCGUAAAGCGCACGUAGGCGGACCAGAAAGUUGGGGGUGAAAUCCCGGGGGCUCAACCCCGGAACUGCCUCCAAAACUAUUGGUCUAGAGUUCGAGAGAGGUGAGUGGAAUUCCAAGUGUAGAGGUGAAAUUCGUAGAUAUUUGGAGGAACACCAGUGGCGAAGGCGGCUCACUGGCUCGAUACUGACGCUGAGGUGCGAAAGUGUGGGGAGCAAACAGGAUUAGAUACCCUGGGUAGUCCACACCGUAAAACGAUGAAUGCCCAGUCGUCGGGGUAGCAUGCUAUUCGGUGACACACCUAACGGAUUAAGCAUUCC